UUAAAUUGAAGAGUUUGAUCAUGGCUCAGAUUGAACGCUGGCGGCAGGCCUAACACAUGCAAGUCGAACGGUAACAGGAAUCAGCUUGCUGAUUCGCUGACGAGUGGCGGACGGGUGAGUAAUGUCUGGGAA
This 132-nucleotide ribosomal RNA is filed under the name Escherichia coli. RNAcentral describes it as "partial 16S ribosomal RNA". It matches the Rfam family "Bacterial small subunit ribosomal RNA", at positions 1 to 123 of the family's 1533-position model. The record is from RNAcentral. Lineage: Bacteria; Pseudomonadati; Pseudomonadota; Gammaproteobacteria; Enterobacterales; Enterobacteriaceae.